RNAcentral lists this long non-coding RNA (968 nucleotides) under Anas platyrhynchos platyrhynchos (common mallard). RNAcentral's name for it is "lncRNA (ENSAPLG00000029529.1)". Lineage: Eukaryota; Metazoa; Chordata; Aves; Anseriformes; Anatidae. The record is from RNAcentral.
AUGGUGGUGGGGACGUGGUGGCCUUGGGGACGAGGAUUUGGGGGCAUGGUGGUCUUGGGGACACGGUGGCCCUGUGGACAAAGGCUUGGGGAUGUGGUGAUGGGGACAAGGGCUUGGGGACAUGGGGAUGGUGAUGGUGGCCUUGGGGACAUGGUGGCCUUGGGGACACGGUGGCCCUGGGGACAAGGUCUUGGGGGCAUGGGGAUGGGGACAAGGGCUUGGGGACAAGGGGAUGGUGGCCUUGGGGCUCUGGUGGCCUUGGGGACAAAGCCUUGGGGAUGUGGUGGCCUUGGGGACAAGGACUUGGGGACACAGUGGUCUUGGGGACUUUGUGGUGGGGACGUGAUGGGCUUGGGGACAAGGUUUUGGGGACAAGGGGAUGGGGUUGGUGGCCUUGGGGACAAGACCUUGGGGACACAAUGGCCUUGGGGACAUGAUGGUGGGGACGUGGUGGCCUUGGGGACAAGACCUUGGGGACAUCGUGGUCUUGGGGAUAAGGCUUUGGGGAUGUGGUGGCCUUGGGGACAUGGGGAUGGGGAUGGUGGCCUUGGGGUUCUGGUGGCCCUGGGGACACGGACUUGGGGACAUGGUGGUGGGGAUGAGGCUUUGGGGGCGUGGUGGUCUUGGGGGCAUCGUGGUGGGGAGGUGGUGGCCUUGGGGACAAGGUUUUGGGGACAUGGGGAUGGGGUUGGUGGCCUUGGGGUUCUGGUGGCCAUGGGAACAAGGACUUGGGGACAUGGUGGCCUUAGGGACACGGUGGUCCUGGGGACAAGACCUUGGGGACUUCAUGGUGGGGAUGUGGUGGCCCUGGGGACAAGGCCCUGGGGACAUGGCGAUGGUGGCCUUGGGAACCCAGUUAUGGGGUUGGUGGCCUUGGGGACAAGGUCUUGGGGUCCUGGUGGUGGCCCCGGGGUCCCAGUGGUGGCCCCGGGGUCCCGGUGGUGGCCCCGGGGUCCCAGUGGUGGCCU